RNAcentral lists this ribosomal RNA (455 nucleotides) under uncultured bacterium. Its description in RNAcentral is "bacterial SSU rRNA". It matches the Rfam family "Bacterial small subunit ribosomal RNA", at positions 340 to 786 of the family's 1533-position model. The record is from RNAcentral.
UACGGGAGGCAGCAGUGGGGAAUAUUGCACAAUGGGCGAAAGCCUGAUGCAGCUAUGCCGCGUGUAUGAAGAAGGCCUUAGGGUUGUAAAGUACUUUCAUCGGGGAGGAAAAACAAAACUAAUAAUUUUAUUUCUUGACGUUACCCGAAAAAGAAGCACCGGCUAACUCCGUGCCAGCAGCCGCGGUAAUACGGAGGGUGCUAGCGUUAAUCAGAAUUACUGGGCGUAAAGAGCGCGUAGGUGGUUUUUUUAAGUCAGAUGUGAAAUCCCUGGGCUUAACCUAGGAACUGCAUUUUGAAACUGAAAUACUAGAGUAUCGUAGAGGGAGGUAGAAUUCUAGGUGUAGCGGUGAAAUGCGUAGAUAUCUGGAGGAAUACCUGUGGCGAAAGCGGCCUCCUAAACGAAUACUGACACUGAGGUGCGAAAGCGUGGGGAGCAAACAGGGAUUAGAUACC